Molecule: ribosomal RNA, 322 nt
Filed under: Protaspa sp.
Lineage: Eukaryota; Cercozoa; Thecofilosea; Cryomonadida; Protaspidae
Description: SSU rRNA
Rfam family: Eukaryotic small subunit ribosomal RNA (bases 106-322)
Source: RNAcentral
GAUUUCUGGUUUGGUGUGCCUAGCCCGCCGCGGUUACGCGUGUGAGUGCCGGGUCGCGCCUGCCAUCCUUCUAGAGAACGUUUCUACCCUUCAUUGGGCCGGAAACGCAAUCUAGAUCUUUUACUUUGAAAAAAUUAGAGUGUUUAAAGCAGGCUUUUGCUAUGAAUACAUUAGCAUGGAAUAAUAAUCUAGGACUUCGGUUCUAUUUUGUUGGUUUCUAUAACUGAAGUAAUGAUUGAUAGGGAUAGUUGGGGGUGCUAGUAUUGGCCGGCCAGAGGUGAAAUUCUUGGAUUCGGUCAAGACUAACUUAUGCGAAAGCAUU